This 974-nucleotide small RNA is filed under the name Pan troglodytes (chimpanzee). RNAcentral describes it as "retained intron". The record is from RNAcentral. Lineage: Eukaryota; Metazoa; Chordata; Mammalia; Primates; Hominidae.
ACUGCUUUUCAGAGUCCACCUGGCCAUCGGGGCAGGCGAGGGCCCUGAGGAGCCCUGAGGAGCCCUGCUCUCUCCCAGAAAAGAUCCCGCACCAUCCUCCAGGAUCCAAUGGCCUUGGAGAGAGGGCUGCAGGGCCCACGGACAUUGCUGACUCUUCAGAACGUGCUGACAUGGAGCCAGGUAGACUGAAAUUACCAUGUGUCCAAAUUAAAAUUGCAUACUUCAAGGAUUAUUUGAAGGACUAUUCUUAGACCCUUUUAAGAAGAUUUAAAGAAAAACCACUCGGCCCUGAGUGCGGCGAGGACCCUGUUUGUGGAUGUGGAGGAGCGCGGGCCGGAGGCCAUGGACGUGAAGGAGAGGAAGCCUUACCGCUCGCUGACCCGGCGCCGCGACGCCGAGCGCCGCUACACCAGCUCGUCCGCGGACAGCGAGGAGGGCAAAGCCCCGCAGAAAUCCUACAGCUCCAGCGAGACCCUGAAGGCCUACGACCAGGACGCCCGCCUAGCCUAUGGCAGCCGCGUCAAGGACAUUGUGCCGCAGGAGGCCGAGGAAUUCUGCCGCACAGGUGCCAACUUCACCCUGCGGGAGCUGGGGCUGGAAGAAGUAACGCCCCCUCACGGGACCCUGUACCGGACAGACAUUGGCCUCCCCCACUGCGGCUACUCCAUGGGGGCUGGCUCUGAUGCCGACAUGGAGGCUGACACGGUGCUGUCCCCUGAGCACCCCGUGCGUCUGUGGGGCCGGAGCACACGGUCAGGGCGCAGCUCCUGCCUGUCCAGCCGGGCCAAUUCCAAUCUCACACUCACCGACACCGAGCACGAAAACACUGAGACUGGUGAGUGGCUGGUUUGGUCUGUGCCGGGUGCCUGGGUGGUGGGGCUGGGGUUUUAUUUACAAUAUUGAUUUCCUGCUCCACUGCCGGGGCUCUGGGGAAGUUGGUGAAAAAUUGCUUUACUCUCAGGGGUCAAAUGUCA